This 459-nucleotide ribosomal RNA is filed under the name uncultured bacterium. Its description in RNAcentral is "partial 16S ribosomal RNA". It matches the Rfam family "Bacterial small subunit ribosomal RNA", at positions 338 to 795 of the family's 1533-position model. The record is from RNAcentral.
CCUACGGGUGGCAGCAGUGAGGAAUAUUGGUCAAUGGGCGGAAGCCUGAACCAGCCAAGUAGCGUGCGGGAUGACGGCCCUACGGGUUGUAAACCGCUUUUGCACGGGGACAACACCCUCCACGUGUGGACGUAUGCAGGUACCGUGCGAAAAAGGGACGGCUAAUCCCGUGCCAGCAGCCGCGGUAAUACGGAGGGUGCGAGCGUUAUCCGGAUUAAUUGGGCUUAAAGGGGGCGUAGGCGGGAGUGCAAGUCAGCGGUAAAAUCGCGUGGCUCAACCCCGCUCCGCCGUUGAAAAUGGGGGCCUUGAGUGCGCGAGAGGUAUGCGGAAUGCGUGGUGUAGCGGUGAAAUGCAUAGAUAUCACGAAGAACUCCGAUUGCGAAGGCAGCAUACCGGGGCGCAACUGACGCUGAGGCACGAAAGCGUGGGUAUCGAACAGGAUUAGAUACCCGAGUAGUC